Cavia porcellus (domestic guinea pig) is the source of this 4496-nucleotide RNA transcript. RefSeq lists it as uncharacterized. The record is from RefSeq and is a predicted model, not a curated record. NCBI's taxonomy places the organism in Eukaryota, Metazoa, Chordata, Mammalia, Rodentia, Caviidae. The transcript has 3 exons.
AGAAGCUGGUCCCAUUCCCCCCACGCAGGCACGCCUUGGCCGGCACGUCCUCGCCUGGGCCUCCAGCCACUGCAGCGCUGUCCAUGGCUGCUGCUGGCCUCUAGGGGGCACUGCUUGGGCACCCAGAAAGGCCUUGCAGGGUGAGCCAGGCCUGGGUGGGGGUUGUCUCACUGUGUGCUGUCAGGGGCUCAGCCCUUGGAGGGGGCAGCCUGAGGGAGGGCAGAGUGAGGACAGCCUUGGAAAGUCACUGAAAAUGUCCACAUGCGCCUUGUCCACUGGGAGGACAGGUGGACAAGAGGGAGGCGGCUGGUAUGGACCAGCAAUGUGACCUUGGGCCCUGUCUCAGGGCUCAGAUUCCUUGGCUGCACAAGGAAUGGUGUUUGUGUUGGCAUUUGUGGUCACGGUGGCCCUGCCAACUUCCACAGCAUGUGACACCGUCAGGGGACUGUAGGUGUGAGGAAGGACUCAGCUGGAGGGCUCGUGCCACCUCACCUCCAGUUGCUUUUGCUGUCUUCUGCCACCAUGAACUGUUGUUCCUUUUCCAUAUGUCAUCCUGCCUUGGAGUCAGCUGAUUAUGGACUGAAACAUCUACAAACUGUGAGCUAAAUAAAUCUUUCCUCCUUUAACUCUGAGUGUCAGUUAUUUUGCCUCAGAAACUUAAAAAAAGUAACUAUAACUGAAUUUGGUACCAGGAGUGGGGUUGUUGCUAUGCUGUGACUCUACCAGACCAGGAGCCUUUGGGAAAGGCUUGUGGGAAGAGUUUGGAAAGAUUAAGAGAUGCUGGCUAAAACAGUAGAGCUGGAAUACCUUAGGUUGUUCUUUAUGGGCGAUUCUGGUCAGAGGUUCCCAGAAGGUAGAUAGAAAUCCUACUGGUAAAGACCAGGUUUGGGAGGUUUCUGCUGGGAAUAAGGACUUCAUUGGUUGUUGGACUCUAGAUGAUGUGUUAUGGCCUAGCAGAAAGCAUGUCUGCAUUUUGCUUGUGAUAAUAGAUGCCUGAAACUGAGAUUAAGUGCAGCAGAUGAAUUAAUCUUGCAGAAUAAAUUUCAGGGUGGUCUAAUGUUGAGGCAGUGGCAUGGAUCCAAAUUUAUGUAGAGAAUCAAGAACAAAGAGGCCAGCAGAAUGAUUUAAAACACUGAGUUUGGGCAGAAAGCAAACUCCAGUAAAGCUGUGUAUUAUGAAGAUAGAGCAAAGGAGAUUUUGAUUGCUGAGAAGGAACAGUAGAAUAUAAAAGAUGGGGGCUGAGGAUUUAGCUCAGUGGCAUAAGUACCUGCCUUGCAAGCAAGUGGUCGUGAGUUCAAUCCCUGGUAUCGAUAAAAAUGAAAAAGACAAAAAAAAAUAGCAAAAUAAAGUCUAUUUUAAAAAAAGAAUAUAAAAGAUGGCCUGAGGACAUUACAAGAAGCAGCAGGACUCUACCCUUUGUAGUCUCAAAAUUACAAAAGUGAAAGAUUUUCUUCGAAAAGAAAGCCUCAGUAUAUCCUGUUCCUGAAUAUUGUCAGCCACACCAUGUUCCAGAAUGGUGGUAGGUUAGAGAAUUUGUUCCUCAGAAUUGAAUUCAGAGUUUCCAGCAAUCCAGGCACUGGACUCCUUCAGCCAAGAGAGAGGGAAAGCCAAGCUACUGGUCCAGCUGGUGGCAGACCUUGGCAUCAUCCAUGUGGUGCUGGUUUUAGGUGCAUCUAAAUGGAAGGGAAGAAUGAAGGUUAUAGGUUCAGAAAGAUUUCCAUCCAGAUUUCAGAAGAAGGCCGGAGGCCAGGCAGUGUGCCCCUGAGAGGGCAUUUUGUGAAGCUGUGAGUGUGAAGCCAAAGGUGUUAUGGAGACCUCAGAAGGGUGAAGCCAGGAAACAGGAUCAUCUGAGGGAAACUGCAAAGAGGGAGCAAAGUGGGCCCAAAAGAGAAGCCACAAGAGCUACAACUACUGGACGUGCCAUAGGGACAGAGCUACCCAAACUCUGGAGUUCACAUCUUGUGAUAGAUUGCUUCGGACGCUGCACAUGGAACUACAUGACUUAAUGUUUGUGUUGCUGGAUUUUGGAUUUGCUUUGGUCCCAUUUCUUUGUAUCUCCCUGUUUGUAACUUUUGGAGUGGAGAAGUUUAUCUUGUGACACUGAAUGUUGGAAGUGUUUGUAUAGAGGUUCACAGCUAAGAGUCUGCCUUAAAUCUCAGAGGAGACUUGGGACUUGGACUUUUCAGCAAAGCUGAAACUGUUAAGACUUUGGAGACAGGGGCUGGAGAUUUAGCUCAGCGGCAUAAGCACCUGCCUUGCAAGCAGGCGGUCGUGAGUUCGAUCCCUGGUACCGGUAAAAAAAAAAAAAAAAAAAAAAAAAAAAAAAAAAAAAAAAGACUUUGGAGACACUUGGAGAUGGACUAAAUGCCUUUUGCAUAAAGGAAUGUACAUGAGUCUUUGAUGGGGGUAAGGGUGGGAUGUUAUGGUUUGUGUUUAAAUGUCCCCCAAAGCUUCAUGCACUUUUAGAUGGGGCAUUUUUAGUGAUAGCUGAAUCUAGAGUUUGUGAUUGAUUCAUGGGUCAAUGUUAAUGUUAAGGGUGCUAGGAUUAAGGGUGGGUGAUUGCUGGGAUCAUUCCACUGAUUGGAUUGGCAUCACCCUAAUCCCAGAAGUCUGGCUAAAAUAAAAAGGGCAGAAAGAGACCUCUCUUUCUCUCUUUCUGCUUUUUUCUGUCUUCUGCUGCCAUGAACUGUUGCCCCUUUUCCAUGUGCCACCCUGCCUUUAUAGUCAGCUGAUUAUGGACUGAAACCUCUAUAAACUGUGAGCUAAAUAAACCUUUCAUCCUUUAACCUUGGGUGUCAAGUAUUUAUUCUCAGCAAUGAGAGAAAUAACUAAGGCUGUGUUUGGUAUGUGCAGUAUACAAAGACUCCACCACGCCAGGUUCUGGACACACCCAGCAUGCAAAUGGUGUCCUCUGACCCCUGUGAAUGAGGACUGGAAUGCUGGUGGCUUGCGGGGUUGGGGGAGAGUUUAGACUGAGUGAGAUGAUGGGUGGGGGCAGGGACCCCAUUAGAGGUCAAUGUUCAGCAGCAGCAGAUGGAGGGGUAUAUUAGUUAACUUUUUUCUCAUUGCUGAGAAUGCUCAGCACCCAGACUAAGGGGGAGAGGUUUAUUUGGCUUACAGUUUGUAGAGGUUUCAGUCCACAGUCAGCUGCCUGCAGGAUGACAUAGCAGACAGGCAUCAUAGAGGAGAAAGAGUACAUCAUGGGAAGAAGCAAGAAGGGGACAUUAGCAGCUUUUCCCCACACCUUUUAUACUCUAUCUAUGCUACUAGGAUUAGGACAGUGCCAAACCAAUCAGUGGACUAAUUUAAUAGUCACAUACCCUAGAUCCAGCCACUCAGAAAAAGCCCCAUCUAUGACUGCCCAAAGCUUUGGGGAUCAUCUAGACACAAAAUAUAAUAAGGGAACAUGUGAGAGCUGGCGGAGGUGGGGGGUAGGGAGCGGCAGAUGCCUGCAUGCAGACCUUUAGGCCAGGUGCUGGUUGGUUGGUUGAUUUAUUCCCGUUUGUCCAGCACCUCCUUGUGUCAGGCUGUGUGAGUUUGAGCUUAGGACAGGAAGACAGAAAGGUCCCUGGGCUUCUUGGGGGCAGGAAGGCUGAUGCUGCCUGGUUACCCCCACACUGCUGGCUUCUGGGAGGGACUGAGGCUUGCAGGAUAGGAGUGUGCAGAAGAAACUCUGGGGUGGCCAGGGUUCAGGGACCCUGUCUGUGGGUGAAGAACAUCAUGAGAGGGCAUAGAAGACAAGGUAGAGAGCAGAUCCCUGGGUGCCCAAGGAAAUCGUACCAAGCUCCAGGAACUCCCAAGGUUUCCAGCAAGCACUGCAUGGGGCCCAGUGUGUGGCCUGGAGAAUCCCCUUCCACUCAGGUGUAGGACUGGGAGGAGCCAGCGCAGAUGCAGCACAGCAACCUUUUGGUGCAGAGGGUGCAGUCCAGCUCCCUUUAAAGGAAGCCCAAGUCCUGGGAAAGGCAGGCCCGUUGCCCUGGCUGGGGCCUGGCCACUGUGAUGAUGGCAGUGGCAGCAAGAGAUGAGGAGGCUCUCUGGGCCCAGAGGGACACAGCUUGUCCUCGCUGAAGCCUGGCCUGUGGGGAGGGAAGGGGCCCUCCUAAGUUUGGCCAGCCUGGGAGCCCUGCCCAAGGUGCCCAGACAAUGCAGGCUGGAGGCUGCCUGGUUGGAGGUGGCAGGGGACAGUGGUGCCCCAGCUCUGCCUUCUGGGCUCCCCGCCUGGCCCAGGCUUCUACCCAGCUUUUGGCAGCUGCCAGCUAGCCUCCCUGGGGCCCUGGAAAAGACAGAGAUUGAGAAAGAGAGAGAGAGAGAGAGUCUGGGGGCCUCGGGGUGUGCAUAGGAGUGUGUCUGCCUGUGAGGAUCUGAGUGUUUGGGUCUGAUGGUGCAAAUGAGCAUGCAAGUGUGCGGAAUGUGACAACAUACACACAGUGUGACGUGUGUGGGCAUGUGUGAGGGUAUGUGUGCACAGGUCCACCCCCUCCCAUCAGCCCCAGGGC